GAAAAAGCAUGCAAGAACUGCUAACUCUAUGCUCCCAUAUUUAACAAUAUGGCUUUUUCG
This 60-nucleotide transfer RNA is filed under the name Capreolus pygargus (Eastern roe deer). Its description in RNAcentral is "tRNA-Ser". The record is from RNAcentral. Lineage: Eukaryota; Metazoa; Chordata; Mammalia; Artiodactyla; Cervidae.